RNAcentral lists this ribosomal RNA (463 nucleotides) under uncultured bacterium. RNAcentral's name for it is "partial 16S ribosomal RNA". It matches the Rfam family "Bacterial small subunit ribosomal RNA", at positions 28 to 507 of the family's 1533-position model. The record is from RNAcentral.
GACGAACGCUGGCGGCGUGCUUAACACAUGCAAGUCGAGCGGAAAGGCCACUUCGGUGGUACUCGAGCGGCGAACGGGUGAGUAACACGUGAGUAAUCUGCCCCUCACUUUGGGAUAGCCACCGGAAACGGUGAUUAAUACCGGAUAUGACCAUAUGUCGCAUGGCGUGUGGUGGAAAGUUUUUCGGUGAGGGAUGUGCUCGCGGCCUAUCAGCUUGAUGGUGAGGUAAUGGCUCACCAUGGCUUCGACGGGUAGCCGGCCUGAGAGGGUGACCGGUCACACUGGGACUGAGAAACGGCCCAGACUCCUACGGGAGGCAGCAGUGGGGAAUAGUGGAAAAUGGGCGGAAGCCUGAUCCAGCAACGCCGCGUGAGGGAUGACGGCCUUCGGGUUGUAAACCUCUUUCAGUACCGACGAAGCGCAAGUGACGGUAGGUACAGAAGAAGCGCCGGCCAACUACGUG